UGCCCCUCCACCCCGUGACCGUCCUGCCCCUCCGCCCCGUGACCGUCCUACCUUUCCACCACAUGCCCAUCCUACCCCUCCACCCCGUGCCCGUCCUGCCUCAGUUUCCUCUGCUGUUCAGUCUCCUGAUACAUUUGUAUUGCCUGCCUCUGAAUCUGCUGCCUCCGAAGCACCUGAAAACUUAGACCAAAAGUCUUUGGUUGUGAAAGGUCAGAUACCUCAGCAAUCUCCACAGACCAAACCCCAGGCUACUGAAGAAAUAACUGAGCUAGAUAUCUAAAUCAAAGCAUCUCCUAUGAAAAUUUAUGACAAUCCACCAACUGCAUUUGAUGAUAAUAAAAUCCAGAGCUUCGCUCCCAUGCUUUGUCUUUCCAGCUUUCAUAACUUCUUCCUAAUCAGGGAUCAAAGGAGAACUGCGACUUUCUUCUGAGAAGGACUCCAGCAAUCAUAUAUUUCUUUCUGUUGGUUUUGGGGCAUUCUCUCUUAAUUGUGAAUUGUGAUUAUUCUGCAAGAAUAAACAUUUACAAAUAAAUUUGU
This is a non-coding RNA of Pseudonaja textilis, 537 nucleotides long. The record is from RefSeq and is a predicted model, not a curated record. Lineage: Eukaryota; Metazoa; Chordata; Lepidosauria; Squamata; Elapidae.